This 3054-nucleotide long non-coding RNA is filed under the name Capsella rubella. RNAcentral describes it as "long non-coding RNA (CRUB_LNC001080)". Lineage: Eukaryota; Viridiplantae; Streptophyta; Magnoliopsida; Brassicales; Brassicaceae. The record is from RNAcentral.
UGAGGCCCGAUUUGAUUUUCUCAUUUUUUUCACUGCUAAGGGCUAGUGAUCUCAUCUUGAACUUCUAUUAUCAAAGCUUUGAUUUGAAUGAAGGAUUACAAUAUUGACCUAGUGAUAUUCUGAAGUCCUCACCUGAGAAGUGGUCAUAAUUGGCAUUAGAUGGACGUUCGAGGAAGUAAUUUAAGACUGAGGUUUUGUUCUUUAUAUAUUGUUUUGCAAGUCUAGCUGAUCAUUGUUUUAUUUUUUUCUUUUUUUCUUGUCUUUAUUAGAUAUGCAGGAUUGGUUUCAGCUUGUUAUCUCUUGUUAUCCCGUAAGUAAAAAGGCUGAAGAAGCAAAGGAACUACAGAGGCAUGUGAGCAAUGAAGAGAGAACACUCCUGCUUGACUUGUUCCGCAAGCAGAAGCAAGAUCCUGUUGCAUCAAGUGUAGUUACCCAACUUCCAGCUGUCCAAAUUCUGCUCGCUAGACUAAUUGUUAUCGCAGUUAGUUACUGUGGAAACGAUUUUAAUGAGGAUGACUGGGAUUUUGUCUUUUCUAAUUUGAAGCGUCUGAUUCAGUCUGCAGUGGUUGUGAUGGAGGAAACUUCUGAGAACGUCAAUGACUUCAUUAGUGGCGUUUCUUCUGUGGAGAAGGAGAAUGAUACUCUUGAGGGACUUGGGCAUAUUGUGUUUAUUUCUGAUCCUUCUAUAAGCAAUGCUCAGAAUGCUCUCUCAGCAUUUUCGUUGCUUAAUGCUUUAGUAAAGCAUAAAUCGACUGAAGGUGAAGACAAUCUGAAAUCCUUGGCAGAUGAAACAUGGGAUCCGGUUAAGGAUCGGAUACUUGAAGGUGUUCUACGUCUUUUCUUUUGCACCGGUCUUGCUGAGGCUAUUGCUGCUUCAUAUUCCGCAGAGGCAGCAUUGAUUGUUGCUUCAUUUCGAGUUGAUCAUUUGCAAUUCUGGGAGUUGGUGGCUCAAAUUGUGGUAGACUCUUCUCCACGUGCCAGAGAUAGAGCUGUCAGAGCAGUGGAAUUUUGGGGUCUAAGCAAGGGAGCCAUAAGCUCUUUGUAUGCAAUGAUGUACUCUUCCAAUCCAAUCCCGUCAUUGCAACUUGCUGCAUACAUUGUUUUGUCUACCGAGCCUAUUUCCAGGCUGGCCAUAGUUGCUGAUGGGAAUGCACCACUGAAUGAUGAGUCUCUCAAUGACCAGGACUCAAUCAAUACUGGUUUGCCAUCUGAAGAGAAGCUACGGUUAAGAGAUGAAGUAUCUUGUAUGGUUGAGAAGUUAAAUAAUGAACUUCUUGAUACGGAUUUAACUGCACCAGAAAGGGUAAAUUUCUUUCAAAAACUCUAUUUGGUUUAUUUUCCCUCUUUGGCAAGUCAUUCACUGUUUGAUCACUUCUAAUGGCAGGUGCAAACGUUCCUGGCAUGGUCUUUGUUGCUCUCGCAUGUUAACUCUCUUCCUUCACUAACACAAGGACGAGAGAGACUGGUGCAGUAUAUAGAGAAAACUGCAAAUCCGUUGAUAUUAGAUAGUCUUUUUCAGCACAUACCUCUAGAAUUAUACAUGGCACAUAGCUUGAAAAAAAAAGAUGGGGAUAUUCCGUCUGAGUUAUCUGUUGUAGCUUCUGCAGCCACUCAUGCGAUUAUGACAGGCUCUUCCCUGUCAACGGUUGAAUCACUUUGGCCUAUUGAAACUGGAAAGAUGGCUUCGCUUGCUGGGGCGAUAUAUGGUCUGAUGCUACGCGUCCUUCCAGCUUAUGUUAGAGAAUGGUUUAGCGAAAUGCGAGACCGUUCUACAUCAUCUCUGAUUGAAGCAUUUACAAGAUCGUGGUGCAGCCCUACUUUAAUCAAGAAUGAACUGUCUCAGGUAUGUGCAGUUAAGAUUUUCUCAUCGAUGAGAGUUGCAGUGAAGAUUAACUAACGCAUUUGCAAAUAUUCUGGUCAUUGUUUAUGUGAGCCGCAGAUAAAGAAGGCAGACUUUAAUGAUGAGAGCUUUUCAGUCAGCAUAAGUAAAGCGGCAAACGAAGUAGUUGCUACAUAUACGAAGGAUGAAACAGGGAUGGAUCUCGUGAUCCGGCUUCCAGUUUCUUACCCACUAAGGCCUGUUGACGUUAAUUGCACAAAAAGUAUUGGAAUAAGCGAUGCAAAGCAGAGGAAGUGGUUGAUGUCCAUGCAGCUGUUUGUUCGUAAUCAGGUACUGUACUUUAUGAGUCAUGUAGAUCUUUGUUAACCUGAAUGAUAUGCAGUCCCAUCAUAUAGACCAAUAAUACAAGGUGGCAGAAAAAGUUGGUAGAUUAAUCUUGUUCCCUCCAUCUAAAGCCCAUAUCAACAUAGUUCAAUCGAGUGCAUGACUUGGCUGAAUGUUUUCUUUUCUUUUUUGAUAUGUUACUGAAAGCAGAAUGGGGCCCUGGCGGAGGCGAUAAGGAUAUGGAAGCGAAACUCGGAUAAAGAGUUUGAAGGAGUAGAGGACUGCCCGAUAUGUUACAGUGUGAUACACACAGCGAAUCAUAGCCUUCCAAGGCGGGCUUGCGUGACGUGCAAGUACAAGUUUCACAAAGCAUGUUUAGACAAGUGGUUCUACACGUCUAGUAAGAAACUCUGCCCCUUGUGCCAAUCUCCUUGCUAAUCCAAUAAACGGAGCUGAGGAUGCAUUUUGUGACAUUAGUCUGGGAGUUUUGCUUUAACCCUAACAUUCUCCUUAGUAUUUGCUUUCCAAGAAAUGAAAAGGGUUUACGGAACGUAGGUGGUACUUAUAUGUGAUAUACGUAAACAUGUGUGAGUUGUCUUUACUAAUAACUCAAUUCAAUUAUAUGUGGUGUGGAAGAUCAUAUGAAAAGAAAGUAAUAAAUAGAGAAAUUUACUUGUCGCUCUCUCUCUCUGUUUGCCUUUGGCUCAAUCGCUGUUCUGGCUUUGAGUGCACGCAUGGAUUGUCUCUUCCGGCAGACUCGUCACUCAACUCACCCUAUUGCUCUUCAAUACUCUCCACUCGACCAUACUUAUAUGUAAAGGCCUAGGUACUCGGACACAUUUGACAAAUACAAACUGAAAAAAAAAAAAUAUGUAAAGCCUCUCACGCCC